UCCCGUGUGGCUCAGUUGGUAGAGCAUGGUGUUUGCAAUGCCAGGGUUGUGGGUUCAAUUCCCACAGGGGAC
Salmo salar (Atlantic salmon) is the source of this 72-nucleotide non-coding RNA. NCBI's taxonomy places the organism in Eukaryota, Metazoa, Chordata, Actinopteri, Salmoniformes, Salmonidae. The record is from Rfam.